UAGGGAAUCUUCCACAAUGGGCGAAAGCCUGAUGGAGCAACGCCGCGUGUGUGAUGAAGGGUUUCGGCUCGUAAAACACUGUUGUAAGAGAAGAAUGACAUUGAGAGUAACUGUUCAAUGUGUGACGGUAUCUUACCAGAGAGGAACGGCUAAAUACGUGCCCG
RNAcentral lists this ribosomal RNA (164 nucleotides) under uncultured bacterium. Its description in RNAcentral is "partial 16S rRNA". It matches the Rfam family "Bacterial small subunit ribosomal RNA", at positions 355 to 511 of the family's 1533-position model. The record is from RNAcentral.